CCCGAGGGGAGCAGCGCUCACAGUGCGGGGUUUGGGCACGGCGGGCAGGAACAGGAGAGGGCUGCCUUUAGACGGGACGGGCUGUGGAGGAGGCGGCUUUCCUGCAGGGCGGUGCUCGGAGGGUUCGGUGCUUUCCAGAUGUGAUUCCUGCUCGGUUUCGGACACCCCCGGCCCUCCCAGUUUAGGCUUUCCUUCCCGUUUCUCUUUUAUCUGCACACGAGGGAUAACCGGGAUCCGCCGCAGCCCCGUGCUCAGCGCUGGCGGCCGGGCAUGCCGCGACUGGAAGAACACACAGCUGGGGCUGUCCCGGCCAGAGCGAGCGGGGCAAACCUCACGCCUGUCUGAUCCUCCUUAACUGGAAGUGGCCAUUUUUAGCGUCCCCAGAAGUAGCACCAAGUCAGAGGAAGCUGUGACUCAGAGGCCGAUGAAUCACUCCUGCUCCAGAUUACACGGCUUUUUUUCCUCCUCCUGGGCCUCCAGCAUGGACUGAGGAGCCCACAGAGACAUUAGUGAGAAUCCUUUUAAAGCUGGAACGAGACCUGAACAUUUGGGAAACACUGCAGCGACUGGUGGAGAAAACACUGCUGUAACGCAUCGGUGCUCCAUGAUCAGGGCUCUGCGUCCCACGGGACCCAUGGGAUCUGCCAGCACAUGGCCUAUUUUUAACCCAAAACACGCAGUCCCCCGGGACGUUGUGUUUUGAACCCACAUCCAUGCACCCUACCCCCCUGGCAGCCUCACGGCAGCAAAAUUCCCCAGUUUCCCCCUCCAGCACGGAGCAGAGCUGCUGCUCACGGGCACACCUUCCCCUCUGCUCUGUUUGCACACAGUGGCCCGGCUCAAAGUAAGCAGUGGAAAACUCUGCUCGCAGGGAAACAUUCCUCUCAUUUUUCCCUGAUGCUUCUGCCUUUUCCCUCCUUCUCCCCCUCCCAGUGAAAAAGGAAGGAGAAAAAAAAAAAAAAAAGAAAAAAAAAAAAAGGAAAAGGAGGCUGCAGUUUAAAUGCUAAAAAUAAAGCUGCCCGGUUGCUUGCUGGAUAAAAAUAGCGGCCCCUGGUAUUUAUUUGAGCAGCAGCAGUCGCCUUUCCGGCUUUGGAGCAGAGCUCAGGAGGAGGAUGGGGCUGGCGAUGCUUGGGCCCAGGUGAUGGGCACAGAGCUGCCAUGAGGAGCUCCUUCCUGAGGAAAUCCCAUGGCAGCAGGAGGUGGGAAGAGCGGAACUGCCUGCAGGAGUUGUGUGGGGAGCAGCCUGGGGACGGGGUGGUGCCCCAGCAUGUAGAUGGGUCAGUGGAGUACCCCUUCCCCAGCACCAAAGUGGGGUGCCCAGCAUCCUUCAGAGCUGGACUUUUUGGGGAUGUCAACCGUGUGCAUGUAGCUGAGCAAUGCUGGGACGUGGCGCUUCCUACCCAAGGGCUUUAUGUGACCUGGCUUGCUGUCUGUUGGGAUUGCUCGCUGCAAAGCAGAGGCUCAGGGGUUAAUGGCUUGGAGCGGAGGUUCGGUUGGGCUGCUUGGAUUCUGUUCUUGUUGUUGUUGUUGUUUUAAUCUCAUGCUGCUCUGAACACCUGGUUUCUGCCUGAUGCUGAGAGCUGCCAAGAUGGCUCGUAAUGGUGG
Long non-coding RNA from Gallus gallus (chicken), 1605 nucleotides. The record is from Ensembl. NCBI's taxonomy places the organism in Eukaryota, Metazoa, Chordata, Aves, Galliformes, Phasianidae.